This 445-nucleotide ribosomal RNA is filed under the name uncultured bacterium. RNAcentral describes it as "bacterial SSU rRNA". It matches the Rfam family "Bacterial small subunit ribosomal RNA", at positions 354 to 796 of the family's 1533-position model. The record is from RNAcentral.
GUGAGGAAUAUUGGUCAAUGGGCGAGAGCCUGAACCAGCCAUGCCGCGUGCAGGAAGACGGCCCUAUGGGUUGUAAACUGCUUUUUUAUGGGAAGAAAAAGCCUUACGUGUAGGGCACUGACGGUACCAUAUGAAUAAGCAUCGGCUAACUCCGUGCCAGCAGCCGCGGUAAUACGGAGGAUGCGAGCGUUAUCCGGAUUUAUUAGGUUUAAAGGGUGUGUAGGCGGAGAUCUAAGUCAGUGGUGAAAUCCCCCGGCUUAACCGGGGAACUGCCAUAGAUACUGGAUUUCUUGAGUACAGUUGAAGUAGGCGGAAUGUGUAAUGUAGCGGUGAAAUGCAUAGAUAUUACACAGAACACCGAUUGCGAAGGCAGCUUGCUAAGCUGUUACUGACGCUGAUGCACGAAAGCGUGGGGAGCGAACAGGAUUAGAAACCCCAGUAGUCC